Molecule: ribosomal RNA, 253 nt
Filed under: uncultured bacterium
Lineage: Bacteria
Description: partial 16S ribosomal RNA
Rfam family: Bacterial small subunit ribosomal RNA
Source: RNAcentral
UACAGAGGGUGCGAGCGUUGUCCGGAAUUACUGGGCGUAAAGGGCGCGUAGGCGGCCUGAUAAGUAGGGGGUGAAAUUCCGUGGCCCAACCACGGAACUGCCUUCUAAACUGCCAGGCUUGAGCACGGUAGAGGCAGAUGGAAUUCCCGGUGUAGCGGUGGAAUGCGUAGAGAUCGGGAAGAACACCAGUGGCGAAGGCGGUCUGCUGGGCCGUUGCUGACGCUGAUGCGCGACAGCGUGGGGAGCAAACAGG